UACGUAUGGAGCAAGCGUUAUCCGGAUUCACUGGGUGUAAAGGGAGCGCAGGCGGCUUUGCAAGUCUGAUGUGAAAGGCCGGGGCUCAACCCCGGGACUGCAUUGGAAACUGUAAAGCUAGAGUGCCGGAGGGGUAAGCGGAAUUCCUAGUGUAGCGGUGAAAUGCGUAGAUAUUAGGAGGAACACCAGUGGCGAAGGCGGCUUACUGGACGGUAACUGACGCUGAGGCUCGAAAGCGUGGGGAGCAAACAGG
This 253-nucleotide ribosomal RNA is filed under the name uncultured bacterium. RNAcentral describes it as "partial 16S ribosomal RNA". It matches the Rfam family "Bacterial small subunit ribosomal RNA", at positions 524 to 776 of the family's 1533-position model. The record is from RNAcentral.